AUUUCACCCAAAAUUGCACCAUUUCGCCCAAACUUGCACCAUUUCGCCAAAUUUUGCACCAUUUCGCCUAAAAUUGCACCAUUUCUCCUUCUCCUCCUCUUCCUCUUCCUUUUUCUUUUUUACACCAUUACACCAUUACACAAUAACAACAAAAAUCUCGUAAAAACCGAGCUGGAUUCGCCUACGCCGCCGACUCGCCUUAUCUAUCCUCCGCCGCCUUCGCCAAUCUCGUUCGAGCAUGAGAAUU
Molecule: long non-coding RNA, 247 nt
Filed under: Ananas comosus (pineapple)
Lineage: Eukaryota; Viridiplantae; Streptophyta; Magnoliopsida; Poales; Bromeliaceae
Description: long non-coding RNA (ACOM_LNC034618)
Source: RNAcentral